AAUCUGAGUUCACACUUUCCUUCUCUGACCUAAAUGUGAAGUCAGGAAACACAUGUGCCCUACUUCCAUCCUGAGCUCAGUCCCCAAUCUCCCACCAGCCUCAGGCCCCUCCACUUCUCAGAUCAGGUCCCAGACCUGCCCAUGAAAAUGGGGAGCAGGCUGUAACAGAUUUGUCCACAUGUUCCUACCACCUGUCCCAACCCAGGGUACCCACCCAGAGACAUCUGGUAUCAUUUAACAAACACAUUGAAGGACAACUGGUCUUCAGAGCUGAAGAGAGCUCCUAGGGGGAGAAGCUGGGACAACAGUGAAAUAAGUAGCAGCAGCAACGACAGAAGUGAAUGGUGACAAAGACUGCUGUGAUGAGCAGGUAGCCUAUCAGGGUGAGCUCCACAGCCGAGCGAGUCUCAGGAUCUGAGAACGAGGCUGGGUAGUGCCCAUGAGAUGUCACACCCAGCCGGAAGCCAGCAACUAGCACACCCUGCCUCCAGCAAUAGUAGAUGCCCCGGUCAUCCAGCUGGGUGAAGCGGAUGUGGAGCUGGUUGCCGUGGUCAAUGAACACCCUCAUGGACCUGUUGACACCCUUCAGGUACUGUGUGCGGUAGAGGUGCUGGCGGUCUUUGUCCCAGGCCACUGCAUGCUCUGGCCGGGCCCCAGGACAGGAGAUGAUGAGUCCAUGGCCCAGUCUCUGCUGGUGGAACUGAAUGGGCACCUGGGGCACCCAGGGCCGGCUGCCCACUUUGGACACAUAGUUAAUGAUGGCCAGCACGCCCUCCCGGAUGGUCUUUGUCUUCUCACAGGGUACUAAGCAGCUCCGAACCAGCACCUCAGGCGUGUGGUCCCUGGCCUUGGUCCGCAGCUUCCUUGGCACAGCCCUUGAGCCACAAGACACCACAUCGGGCACGGCCUUGAGAACACUGGCGCUCACCCAAG
This 933-nucleotide long non-coding RNA is filed under the name Homo sapiens (human). RNAcentral's name for it is "non-protein coding lnc-GFAP-1:2". The record is from RNAcentral. Lineage: Eukaryota; Metazoa; Chordata; Mammalia; Primates; Hominidae.